CGGGGUGCACCAGGCGCGAAAACUUUACAAUGCGGGAAACCGUGAUAAGGGGACACCGAGUGCCAGCAUCAUAUGCUGGCUGUCCGGGUGUGUAAAAUACACCCGUUAGCAAGGGCCGGGCAAGACCGGUGCCAGCCGCCGCGGUAACACCGGCGGCCCGAGUGGUGAUCGUGAUUAUUGGGUCUAAAGGGUCCGUAGCCGGUUUGGUCAGUCCUCCGGGAAAUCUGACGGCUCAACCGUUAGGCUUUCGGGGGAUACUGCCAGGCUUGGAACCGGGAGAGGUAAGAGGUACUACAGGGGUAGGAGUGAAAUCUUGUAAUCCCUGUGAGACCACCUGUGGCGAAGGCGCCUUACCAGAACGGGUUCGACGGUGAGGGACGAAAGCUGGGGGCACGAACCGGAUUAGAUACCCGGGUAGUCCCAGCCGUAAACGAUGCUCGCUAGGUGUCAGGCAUGGCGCGACCGUGUCUGGUGCCGCAGGGAAGCCGUGAAGCGAGCCACCUGGGAAGUACGGCCGCAAGGCUGAAACUUAAAGGAAUUGGCGGGGGAG
This 550-nucleotide ribosomal RNA is filed under the name uncultured archaeon. RNAcentral describes it as "bacterial SSU rRNA". It matches the Rfam family "Archaeal small subunit ribosomal RNA", at positions 326 to 876 of the family's 1478-position model. The record is from RNAcentral.